CCUUCAGUAGGAUUGUCCAAUUGUUAUUCUUUUGGACUAGGAAUCUUUUAUAAACUUCCUUAAACCUUUUCUGAGAAAAAGUUGAAAUAUAUAUAUAUGUGUGUGUGUGUGUGUGUGUGUAUAUAUAUGUACAUAUACGUAGAGAGAGAGAGAGAGAGAGAAUUUUGUGAAAAUUUCACUCUAUGCAUUGGAAAAUCACCACAAAAUCAGUAAAUCUGCUUGGCUUUGGCAAGAAGGUCAUUAACAGCAUCUAUUUGGGUUUCAGUUUCAGACAAAGAAGUUAUGAACACCACAGAAUGGGUAGGCUGAUGAAGGGGUCAUUUUUUACCCAAUGGAAACCAUUUUGAGCUUUGAAUAGAUUGUGAGCUCUUACACUAAGAUAAGCAAUGGCCUAUGUCAGUCUAGGAAAACCAUGCUUAAAGAUGCAGGUCCUGAUUCCACUGGACCUGUCUUAUAAAACUGCGGAGCAGUGGGAGAGAGAGUGCCGCUCCAAGCAGCUUGUGAAGUGACUGGGGUCUGCUCAGUGUGGCGAAGUCUGGGAAGGCUGUGGAACACCACCGCUCCAGUAGCUGUGAAAACAUGAAGACCAAGUGUGAGAAUGUGUUGAAAGAGAAGAAAAGUUCACCAACUGUUCAUGUUUCUUCCUG
Molecule: long non-coding RNA, 647 nt
Filed under: Heterocephalus glaber (naked mole-rat)
Lineage: Eukaryota; Metazoa; Chordata; Mammalia; Rodentia; Bathyergidae
Description: lncRNA (ENSHGLG00000041781.1)
Source: RNAcentral